ACUGCUCAGUAACACGUAGCUAAUCUGCCCUAAAGUCUAGGAUAACCUCGGGAAACUGAGGGUAAACCCGGAUAGAAGAUUUUUUCUGGAAUGAUUAAUCUUUGAAAUUUCACUUUAGGAUGAGGCUGCGGCUGAUUAGGUAGUUGGCGGGGUAAAUGCCCACCAAGCCAAUGAUCAGUAAGGGCCUUUAGCGAGGAAACCCUGAGAGGGAGUCUGAGAUACUACUCCCAGCCCUACGGGGUGCAGCAGUCGGGAAACUUUUGCAAUGCGCGCAAGCGUGACAGAGCAAGCCAAAGUGUUUUCUAUUUAUAGAAAACUUUUGUGAGAUGCAAAAAGUCUCACGAAUAAGGACUGGGCAAGACCGGUGCCAGCCGCCGCGGUAAUCCCGGCAGUCCAAGUCGCAGCCACAUUUAUUGGGUCUAAAACAUCCGUAGCUUGCCAUCUAAGUCUUUUGUUAAAUCGGGACUCUUAAGGUUCCGGCAGCAAGAGAUACUAUAUGGCUAGAGACCGGGGGGCGUAAGGAGUACAGAUAGGGUAACGGUUAAAUGUGUUGAUCCUUUCUGGACUAACAAUCGCGAAGGCACCUUACGAUAACGGAUCUGACAGUGAGGGAUGAAGGCUAGGGGCGCAAAUUGGAUUAGAUACCCAAGUAGUCCUAGCAGUAAACACUGCACACUAAACAUUGGGGCCUCUUCGAGAGGUUUCAGUGCUGUAGAGAAGUCGGAGAGUGUGCUACCUGGGAAGUAUAGCCGCAAGGCCGAAACUUAAAGGAAUUGGCGGGGGAG
Molecule: ribosomal RNA, 785 nt
Filed under: uncultured archaeon
Lineage: Archaea
Description: bacterial SSU rRNA
Rfam family: Archaeal small subunit ribosomal RNA
Source: RNAcentral